AGAACCUUAAGUUAAUUAAACUAUUGGCCUUCAAAGUCAGAAAUAACCCAUGUUAGAUUCUA
This 62-nucleotide transfer RNA is filed under the name Proasellus coiffaiti. Its description in RNAcentral is "transfert RNA-W(TGA)". The record is from RNAcentral. Lineage: Eukaryota; Metazoa; Arthropoda; Malacostraca; Isopoda; Asellidae.